UUUCAAAUCUCCUAUAACCGAUAUAACUGGUGUUCUUAUAAAUCACCAGUGGUUUGGAAAAUGCCAGGAACUUGAAGAAAAAGCUCUCGAUUGUAUGGAAGCUUAUGGUUUGAUAAGAGAAAAAACAGUUUGCAAGGUUCAACGCAAUGGUUGAAGAAAGAGACCGUCAAAUUAAAGCAGGGGAAA
Molecule: long non-coding RNA, 186 nt
Organism: Harmonia axyridis
Lineage: Eukaryota; Metazoa; Arthropoda; Insecta; Coleoptera; Coccinellidae
Exons: 2
Source: RefSeq, a predicted model, not a curated record